This 907-nucleotide long non-coding RNA is filed under the name Homo sapiens (human). RNAcentral describes it as "HSALNT0149528". Lineage: Eukaryota; Metazoa; Chordata; Mammalia; Primates; Hominidae. The record is from RNAcentral.
CCAUGACCCUGCCGUGGCCCUCUCCUGGCCCUUCCUUGAUCCUGCCCUGCCCUUCCAUGCCCUGGCCUUGCCCUCACCCUGCAUUGGCCCUGCACUGGUCCUGCCCUGCCCUGGCACUGCCUUGGCCCCGGCCCUGCCUUCUUCCUGGCCUUGCCUUUGCCCUGCCCUGGCCUGACCCCAGGCCUACUGAGUCCAUGAAAUGGCCCUGGACCUGCCUUGCCAUCCUCUGUCCUGGCCCUAUAUUGUCCCCACCAUGCUCUGGUCCAGCGCUUGCCCUAGCCCUGUUGCUAGUCCUGCCACUGCUAUGGCCCUGCUCUGUUUUUGGCCGUGCCCUGUGCUACCCUAGCCCUGCCCUGCCUUGGCCUUGGCCCUACCAUGGCCUUCUCCUACCCUGGCCUUUUCUACCCUGGCCUUGCCCUUCCCUGGUCUUGCCCUGCCCUGGCCUUGCCCUGCCCUGGCCUUGGCUUUGCCUUAUCCUGGUCCUGGUUCUGCCCUGACCCUGGCCUUGCUCUGGAUCCUCUCUGGUUCUGCUUUCUCCCUGGCCCUGCCCUUGCUCUGGCCCUGUCCCUGGACCAGCCUUGACCCUGACCCUGACAAUCCCCAGGUCUGACACUGGCCAUGCUUGGCCCUGGCCCCUCCUUUUGGCCCUGCCUUAGCCCUGUGCUAUCUUAGUCCUGCCCUGGCCCUGAACUCACCCUGGUCCUACCCUCACCCUACACUGGCCCUGCCCUAUCCUGGCCUUGCCCUGCCCUGGCCCUGCCUUUGGCCUGCUCUGGCUCUGGUUCUGCCCUGGACUUGCCCUUGCCCUGGACCCUCCCUGGCCAUGUUUUUCCCAUGGUCCUUCUCUGGCCUUGCCCUUGCCCUGUCCCCUUUCUGGUCCUGCCAUGUUUCUGGCCCUGCCCUGUCC